RNAcentral lists this ribosomal RNA (253 nucleotides) under uncultured bacterium. Its description in RNAcentral is "partial 16S ribosomal RNA". It matches the Rfam family "Bacterial small subunit ribosomal RNA", at positions 524 to 776 of the family's 1533-position model. The record is from RNAcentral.
UACGUAGGGUGCAAGCGUUAAUCGGAAUUACUGGGCGUAAAGCGUGCGCAGGCGGUUUUGUAAGUCUGACGUGAAAUCCCCGGGCUCAACCUGGGAAUUGCGUUGGAGACUGCAAGGCUAGAAUCUGGCAGAGGGGGGUAGAAUUCCACGUGUAGCAGUGAAAUGCGUAGAGAUGUGGAGGAACACCGAUGGCGAAGGCAGCCCCCUGGGUCAAGACUGACGCUCAUGCACGAAAGCGUGGGGAGCAAACAGG